AUUAGAUAAAAGGUCGACGCAGGCUCUGCCUGUUGCUUUGAUGAUUCAUGAUAACUCGUCGGAUCGCACGGCCCUUGUGCUGGCGACGCAUCAUUCAAAUUUCUGCCCUAUCAACUUUCGAUGGUAAGAUAGUGGCUUACCAUGGUCUCAACGGGUAACGGGGAAUUAGGGUUCUAUUCCGGAGAGGGAGCCUGAGAAACGGCUACCACAUCCAAGGAAGGCAGCAGGCGCGCAAAUUACCCAAUCCCAAUUCGGGGAGGUAGUGACAAUAAAUACUGAUACGGGGCUCUUUCGGGUCUCGUAAUUGGAAUGAGUACAAUCUAAAUCCCUUAACGAGGAACAAUUGGAGGGCAAGUCUGGUGCCAGCAGCCGCGGUAAUUCCAGCUCCAAUAGCGUAUAUUAAAGUUGUUGCCGUUAAAAAGCUCGUAGUUGAACCUUGGACCUGGCUGAUCUGUCCUCCUAAUCGAGCGCACGGAUUCGGUCGGGUCUUUCCUUCUGGGGAGCCCUAUGCCCUUCACUGGGUGUAGUGGGGAACCAGGACUUUUACCUUGAAAAAAUUAGAGUGUUCAAAGCAGG
Molecule: ribosomal RNA, 576 nt
Filed under: uncultured eukaryote
Lineage: Eukaryota
Description: SSU rRNA
Rfam family: Eukaryotic small subunit ribosomal RNA
Source: RNAcentral